Molecule: long non-coding RNA, 1031 nt
Organism: Magnolia sinica
Lineage: Eukaryota; Viridiplantae; Streptophyta; Magnoliopsida; Magnoliales; Magnoliaceae
Exons: 2
Source: RefSeq, a predicted model, not a curated record
AUUGAAGAGCUGAAAGGUGCGUGCCGCAAUUCUGUUACUUGGUGCUUGUUUUUCUAUUGCACACAAGAUAUGGUCAGCCGUCAAUAAAGUCGUUUUCAAAUGAGGGUAUGUACAUGGAGUAUGGAGGCCUGAGAAUAAACUAGCCCGACUUGGAUGAUAUAUCGUUGCUUCCACUUCCUUGCACUCAAAAGCUCUUGCCAAUACAUUAUACUCAUUUCGUUCUGGAUGUUAUCCCUAAUUGGAGGCUCCAUGAGCAAAAGCCCUAAAGUUAGGUGGAAGCAGUGGGAGCACCCUGAAGAAAGCGGCUUUUUGGACGAAAGGAAACUCGUUGUCGCCUGGUGGAUACUCGUACCAGAUCAAAUGGUGGAAUCAGCUGGACUGAUCAUGCAAAGUGGACCCUAUGCCCUUAAGAGCUUUUAUUUGCACUUGUUAAAUCCAGUUACAUAGAUUUGCUUGCUGUUGGUAUUGCUCUCACCUACAAGGUAGAUUUCCAAGUACUUGAUUUUUGGAUGGAAAUGAUUGUAUUUUGUAGUGUUUCCUCAGUAGCUGUUGCAGAAAAGAAGUGGUGGGUGUUAGAGCAAGUAUAGUAGCUUGCGGACUCGUGGGAUUUGGGGUCCGCUAUUAGGUGAUUACCAUGUUGAUGUGAUGGGUGGUUGAGGGAUGCUCAACUCAUCAUUUCGCCCUAGCAUAGACUGUUUAUCUGUCCAUCUUUCUCAUUAACAUGGCCCGCCCCAUGAGUAGAAUUGAUCUUAUUUCUCCAUCAGGACAUGCUAAUGCUAGGGUCCAUCUGAGGAAUGACCUGGAUCUCACACAUGUGCUACAUUGGUACAUCUGCAAAUUACUCCCAUUUCUGCUUACUGUAAUCCUGUUAGCACCUGGCAUUGAGUUCUACUCAGAAAAUGAAUUCUUGCCAGCAUGCAGCCGCAGCACAUGCAGAUAGUUAACAUGACGAGCUAGCCAGAGAUCCAUCAACUCAUAUGGGUCCGCUGAUCAGGUGUGCCAAAACUCAUCAAACAGAUGGAUUGCCAAAU